CUCUUGCUGGGCUCUUUCCCUGGGCCAGGAGCCAUACACAGCUCACGUGGGUCUCUGUGGUCUCCAGAUUGCACUUACUGCAUGUGAACCUCUGACGGGGGAAGAGUGCCUGGGGACACACCCACCGGAGGCAGCAUUGACGUCUGGGUGACACCGGGGGAGACCACAGUAUAUCUACAUGUUGAAACAGACACAGAGCUGGAAGAUGGGAAGCGGAUCAGAAAUGCCCUAGGUUGGUUGCAGUUGUACCUAUCAACCAUUACCCAGCUCUUACUCCAGGACUCCGAACACUUUUUGUGGAACAGACUUUGCUGUGUCCGGUGCCCUUCUCUUGUCCACCUUGGCGUCUUUACACACUCCACUCCUCUACCUACAGGGCUCCCUUUCCGUCUUUGCCUUCAGAUUUCAGCACAAAUACCUCUCUUCUGGGAGCCUUUUCUGACCAUCUGAUCACUGAUCACCUCCAUGCUGGGGAGUUGGUUUUAUUAUUGUUCUCCCAGGACCAGGUGCUUUUCCUUCAAAGCACUUAUUCACGUUUCUAAAUGUAUAUCUAUUUCUGGUGAUCAGAUGAAUACUUACCUUCCCAUAGAUGGUAAGCUCCAGAAGAGCAGGG
RNAcentral lists this long non-coding RNA (613 nucleotides) under Bos indicus x Bos taurus (hybrid cattle). RNAcentral describes it as "lncRNA (ENSBIXG00000008077.1)". Lineage: Eukaryota; Metazoa; Chordata; Mammalia; Artiodactyla; Bovidae. The record is from RNAcentral.